CGACCUCUGCGAUGUUCGACACCGGACCUUAAUUGUCGACCCGACUUACAAACCGCAGGGAACCGAUUGUCUGUGACAGCGUGUAAAUCAGCAGCAUCCUGCAUGGAAUGCCGACUGCUCACACAAGUUACGGCGGCGGUACCCACCUGACAUUGCGGGUUUGUACAACACGGUCCCCCGGCAUACUGCGGAGGUUUG
Molecule: non-coding RNA, 198 nt
Filed under: Planctomycetaceae bacterium
Lineage: Bacteria; Pseudomonadati; Planctomycetota; Planctomycetia; Planctomycetales; Planctomycetaceae
Description: 6S RNA
Rfam family: 6S / SsrS RNA
About the family: E. coli 6S RNA was the first non coding RNA to be sequenced, but its function was unknown until recently. It consists of 184 nucleotides that fold into an extended hairpin structure with a large single-stranded internal bulge. The 6S RNA specifically associates with RNA polymerase holoenzyme containing the sigma70 specificity factor.
Source: RNAcentral